RNAcentral lists this transfer RNA (71 nucleotides) under Camelus bactrianus (Bactrian camel). It matches the Rfam family "tRNA". From Rfam's summary of the family: Transfer RNA (tRNA) molecules are approximately 80 nucleotides in length. The record is from Rfam by way of RNAcentral. Lineage: Eukaryota; Metazoa; Chordata; Mammalia; Artiodactyla; Camelidae. RNAcentral also lists the same sequence under 2 other names.
GGGGGAAGGCUCAGUGGUAGAGAACAUGCUUAGCAUGCAUGAGGUCCUGGGUUCAAUCCCCAGUUCUUGCA